RNAcentral lists this ribosomal RNA (288 nucleotides) under uncultured Anaerolineaceae bacterium. RNAcentral's name for it is "partial 16S ribosomal RNA". It matches the Rfam family "Bacterial small subunit ribosomal RNA", at positions 1079 to 1382 of the family's 1533-position model. The record is from RNAcentral. Lineage: Bacteria; Bacillati; Chloroflexota; Anaerolineae; Anaerolineales; Anaerolineaceae.
GUUAAGUCCGCUAACGAGCGCAACCCUCGUCGUAUGUUAUAUGUGUCAUACGAGACUGCCGGUAAAAGCCGGAGGAAGGUGAGGAUGAUGUCAAGUCAGCAUGACCUUUAUAUCCAGGGCUACACACACGCUACAAUGGUCUGUACAAUGGGUAGCCAAGCCGCGAGGCGGAGCCAAUCCUGAAAGCAGGCCUCAGUUCAGAUUGCAGUCUGCAACUCGACUGCAUGAAGCCGGAGUUGCUAGUAACCGCAGGUCAGCAAUACUGCGGUGAAUACGUUCCCGGGUCUU